ACGGGAGGCAGCAGUGGGGAAUAUUGCACAGUGGGCGCAAGCCUGAUGCAGCGAUGCCGCGUGAGGGAAGAAGGUUUUCGGAUUGUAAACCUCUGUCAUCGGGGACGAUAAUGACUGUACCCGAGCAGGAAGCUCCGGCUAACUACGUGCCCGCAGCCGCGGUAAUACGUAGGGAGCGAGCGUUAUCCGGAAUUACUGGGUGUAAAGGGAGUGUAGGCGGGACUGUAAGUCAGAUGUGAAAUAUGCCGGCUCAACUGGCAGACUGCAUUUGAAACUGCGGUUCUUGAGUGAAGUAGAGGUGAGCGGAAUUCCUCGUGUAGCGGUGAAAUGCGUAGAUAUUGGGAGGAACAUCGGUGGCGAAGGCAGCUUACUGGGCUUUAACUGACGCUGAGGCUCGGAAGCGUGGGGAGCAAACAGGAUUAGAUACCCUGGUA
Molecule: ribosomal RNA, 434 nt
Filed under: uncultured Ruminococcus sp.
Lineage: Bacteria; Bacillati; Bacillota; Clostridia; Eubacteriales; Oscillospiraceae
Description: partial 16S ribosomal RNA
Rfam family: Bacterial small subunit ribosomal RNA
Source: RNAcentral